This 1758-nucleotide ribosomal RNA is filed under the name Triticum aestivum (bread wheat). Its description in RNAcentral is "partial small subunit ribosomal RNA". The record is from RNAcentral. Lineage: Eukaryota; Viridiplantae; Streptophyta; Magnoliopsida; Poales; Poaceae.
AUGGUGAGGACCACCACCACCUUCCUCUUUGUGCUCGUCGGCUGCAGCGCCACACUCCUCAUUAGCUACUCCUAUGCCUCAACCUCCGCCUCCGCCCCCGCCUCGCCCUUGCCCCAACAGGCGGCUAUGGGUGUCCUAUCACUCUCCAUUGGUUCGUGCUCCCUCUCCGCCACAGUGAGGUCUCUCAUUCGUUGUUGUGAAGCUGGCAAAAGUUUGAUCAGGAGAUGGCUCGACUAUGAGAUUUCAGACCUACUAAAGGCUUCUACAAUGGGCAAGUCAAAUUGGUUCUCUCCAGCUAGCAAGGAUUUUCUUGCCUCGCCGGGCUGGCUAGACCACAGAGGCAACAUUUUAUUUGCUAUACCAAACGGCUUGGAGGUAAUUUUAGAGCGUUAUCUUCACUCUUGCUUUCCCUUCGGUUCUCCCCCUCCCACCCAAUCCCUACUUCUCCGGCCGACCGGCGAUGUCUACUUCUCCGGUGAUGAAUAUUUGGCUCUGAUGCGCACCUCUGGAUGUCUCGCCCUGUUCUUGAAGGACAAAAAAAUGGCACCUCUUUUGCUGAUCCCGGGAGCAACAUCUGUCGCUCUUGGUUCAGAUGUAACACCCGUCAGCCUAGCACUCUUUCAGAUGUUCUUAAGGAAGCUGCACGAUCUCCCCCUUGGUCACCCGGAACUCCUUGGCCUUGUCCUCAAGCGCCUCCCUUCCUUAGCUGAUCGUGUUUGUCUAAGAGCUGUCUGCCACCCAUGGCGCUCUAAUAGUAUGUUGCAACCCCUUCCUCUCCCAUUCCCGUGGCUCACUCUCCCUGACGGUACCUUCCUCAGCAUUCCAAGUGGUGAAAUUCACCACAUAUCUUUACCAGAAGGUGCGUGUUGCCAGGGCUCCAUUGGAAACUGGCUAUUCCUCACGCACAAUGAUGAUGUGUGCUACUUGAUGAACCCUUUCUCCAAAACCAGGUCGGAGCUUCCUAAGCUAGCCAAAGUAUGGAAGCGCAGAAUAUUGGAUCCCGACACUAGAUUCAAUCCAAUUUUCUACAAGUUGGUGGUGCCCUUUCCCCUUGACUCGUCGCCCUGUUCCCUUGUUGCUGCAAUGAUCGUGGACGAUAGUGAGUGCGGUACACUUUGUAUUAGCAAACCACCGAUUGUCACUGACUCUUUCAGAGACGAUGAGCUUCCAGUUCUGGAACUUGAGGAUGUUGCAUUCUUUGAUGAAAAGUUGUGGAACACUGAAUCCUUUCCGAGAGAGGCGUGUAUGAUAAGGCAGUAUCUGGUUGAAUGUGGCGGUAGACUGUUGAUGGUGAUACGGUGGAUUCGCUCUAUGGCCCAUCCAACAAGUGAUGACUAUUCGGAGCAUGACCGUACUUUUGCACUUGUGGUUUUUGAGGCAGAUUUGCGCGCCGCCGAACGUGUUGGAUGGAGAACAGUAAGUGACUUGGAUGGCCAUGCGAUCUUUGUCGGCAAGCAUAGCUCCAAGUCCCUGCGUGCUGAAGAAUGCAGUGGAUACCAAGAGGAUUGUAUCUACUUCAUGUGUGACUAUCCCGAGCCGAAGGAUUCUGCAAAUCCUCUUCGUGAUGCCGGUGUUUACAACAUUAGGAUCAGGAAUGAGACAUUCAUGCCGUUGAUGUCGGGGACUGCAGCAGUACCGCCAUGUCACGUUGGCCAGUGGCAUCCGACAUGGUUUUUCCCUCCUGAAACUGCUGGUAGGUUUAGUUUGAUGAGUGAUGUGUUCUACCUGGUGGCUGUUGUUCUGUCUUGUGGUGGCUGA